AACGGCUUACCAAGGCAGCGAUAGGUAGGGGUCCUGAGAGGGAGAUCCCCCACACUGGUACUGAGACACGGACCAGACUCCUACGGGAGGCAGCAGUGAGGAAUAUUGGACAAUGGGCGAGGGCCUGAUCCAGCCAUGCCGCGUGCAGGAAGACUGCCCUAUGGGUUGUAAACUGCUUUUACAGAGGAAGAACCACCCCCACGUGUGGGGGUUUGACGGUACUCUGCGAAUAAGGAUCGGCUAACUCCGUGCCAGCAGCCGCGGUAAUACGGAGGAUCCAAGCGUUAUCCGGAAUCAUUGGGUUUAAAGGGUCCGUAGGCGGGCAGUUAAGUCAGUGGUGAAAGUCUUCCGCUCAACGGGAGAACUGCCAUUGAUACUGAUUGUCUUGAGUUAUUAUGAAGUGGUUAGAAUGAGUAGUGUAGCGGUGAAAUGCAUAGAUAUUACUCAGAAUACCGAUUGCGAAGGCAGAUCACUAAUAAUAUACUGACGCUGAUGGACGAAAGCGUAGGUAGCGAACAGGAUUAGAUACCCUGGU
This 535-nucleotide ribosomal RNA is filed under the name uncultured Salegentibacter sp. RNAcentral's name for it is "bacterial SSU rRNA". It matches the Rfam family "Bacterial small subunit ribosomal RNA", at positions 259 to 791 of the family's 1533-position model. The record is from RNAcentral. Lineage: Bacteria; Pseudomonadati; Bacteroidota; Flavobacteriia; Flavobacteriales; Flavobacteriaceae.